Molecule: non-coding RNA, 97 nt
Organism: Burkholderia sp. AD24
Lineage: Bacteria; Pseudomonadati; Pseudomonadota; Betaproteobacteria; Burkholderiales; Burkholderiaceae
Source: Rfam
CUGAUUAUUAGCAUCAUUCAUCGAAUGGUGGGUUAGCGCGCGUCGGUCUGCAGUGACAUCGAAGUGACAAACUAACCCGCCCCACGAGGCGGGUUUU